CAAUGGACGAAAGUCUGAUGCAGCAUGCCGCGUGCAGGAGAGGCCUUCGGGUUGUAACUGCUUUUGUCAGGGAAGAAUCCUUUGGGCUAAUACCUCGGAGGGAUGACGGUACCUGAAGAAUAAGCACCGGCUAACUACGUGCCAGCAGCCGCGGUAAUACGUAGGGUGCGAGCGUUAAUCGG
This 182-nucleotide ribosomal RNA is filed under the name uncultured Leptothrix sp. RNAcentral's name for it is "partial 16S ribosomal RNA". It matches the Rfam family "Bacterial small subunit ribosomal RNA", at positions 369 to 548 of the family's 1533-position model. The record is from RNAcentral. Lineage: Bacteria; Pseudomonadati; Pseudomonadota; Betaproteobacteria; Burkholderiales; Sphaerotilaceae.